AAUGGGUCAGCGACUUAUAUUCUGUAGCAAGGUUAACCGUAUAGGGGAGCCGUAGGGAAACCGAGUCUUAACCGGGCGUUAAGUUGCAGGGUAUAGACCCGAAACCCGGUGAUCUAGCCAUGGGCAGGUUGAAGGUUGGGUAACACUAACUGGAGGACCGAACCGACUAAUGUUGAAAAAUUAGCGGAUGACCUGUGGCUGGGGGUGAAAGGCCAAUCAAACCGGGAGAUAGCUGGUUCUCCCCGAAAGCUAUUUAGGUAGCGCCUCGUGAAUUCAUCUCCGGGGGUAGAGCACUGUUUCGGCUAGGGGGCCAUCCCGGCUUACCAACCCGAUGCAAACUGCGAAUACCGGAGAAUGUUAUCACGGGAGACACACGGCGGGUGCUAACGUCCGUCGUGAAGAGGGAAACAACCCAGACCGCCAGCUAAGGUCCCAAAGUCAUGGUUAAGUGGGAAACGAUGUGGGAAGGCCCAGACAGCCAGGAUGUUGGCUUAGAAGCAGCCAUCAUUUAAAGAAAGCGUAAUAGCUCACUGGUCGAGUCGGCCUGCGCGGAAGAUGUAACGGGGCUAAACCAUGCACCGAAGCUGCGGCAGCGAACGUAUCACCCAAGACAACUUUACGGAGUUGACGAUUGACGGAGCGAAGCGACGUCAAAGCGUUCAUUAAAGUCGAGUUGGCUUAGGGAUACGUUCGUUGGGUAGGGGAGCGUUCUGUAAGCCUGUGAAGGUGUGUCGUGAGGCAUGCUGGAGGUAUCAGAAGUGCGAAUGCUGACAUAAGUAACGAUAAAGCGGGUGAAAAGCCCGCUCGCCGGAAGACCAAGGGUUCCUGUCCAACGUUAAUCGGGGCAGGGUGAGUCGACCCCUAAGGCGAGGCCGAAAGGCGUAGUCGAUGGGAAACGGGUUAAUAUUCCCGUACUUGGUGUUACUGCGAAGGGGGGACGGAGAAGGCUAUGUUGGCCGGGCGACGGUUGUCCCGGUUUAAGCGUGUAGGUGUGUGUUCCAGGUAAAUCCGGUUCACUUUAACACUGAGGCGUGACGACGAGGCACUACGGUGCUGAAGCAACAAAUGCCCUGCUUCCAGGAAAAGCCUCUAAGCAUCAGG
RNAcentral lists this ribosomal RNA (1101 nucleotides) under Salmonella enterica. RNAcentral's name for it is "partial 23S ribosomal RNA". It matches the Rfam family "Bacterial large subunit ribosomal RNA", at positions 614 to 1632 of the family's 2925-position model. The record is from RNAcentral. Lineage: Bacteria; Pseudomonadati; Pseudomonadota; Gammaproteobacteria; Enterobacterales; Enterobacteriaceae.